This 467-nucleotide long non-coding RNA is filed under the name Mytilus galloprovincialis (Mediterranean mussel). The record is from RNAcentral. Lineage: Eukaryota; Metazoa; Mollusca; Bivalvia; Mytilida; Mytilidae.
GGCAUAGACAAACUAAAUAUUGGUCUCAGAUAUGUAAAAUACAAUAACAAGUAUUAUGCUGAAAUAUUUUUUUUGUCAACCCCUGCACUCUAUGCUUUCCUAUCCUAGAAUUAAAAGGAAAUGUAUACAUUUUAAUUACAUUUAUGUCGACAAUCAAAACAAACGCCUUUUUAGCUCACCUGGCCGAAAGGCCAAGUGAGCUUUUCUCAUCACUUGGCGUCUGGCAUCCGUCGGCGUCCGUCGGUGUCCGUCGUCGUCGUCGUCCUGCGUUAACUUUUACAAAAAUCUUCUCUGAAACUACUGGGCCAAAUUUAACCAAACUUGGCCACAAUCAUCAUUGGGGUAUCUAGUUUAAAAAAUGUGUCUGGUGACCCGCCAACUAACCAAGAUGGCCGCCAUGGCUAAAAAUAGAACAUAGGGGUAAAAUGCAGUUUUUGGCUUAUAACUCAAAAACCAAAGCAUUUAGA